This 341-nucleotide unclassified non-coding RNA is filed under the name fungal sp. RNAcentral's name for it is "partial internal transcribed spacer region". The stretch from base 1 to 46 matches the Rfam family "Eukaryotic small subunit ribosomal RNA", at positions 1786 to 1831 of the family's 1831-position model. Lineage: Eukaryota; Fungi. The record is from RNAcentral.
AAGUCGUAACAAGGUUUCCGUAGGUGAACCUGCGGAAGGAUCAUUAACACGUAUCCAACGUUAAAACCCCCCCGUGAACCUUCAGUGUGCUCGUACGCUUUGUUAGAAAGUAGCAAUCCCUGGUAAAUCAUCGCCGAACAGUUUUGAUUCAGGGACUUCUGCGAAGAGUGUGCUUGUAGCGCGAGGCAAGUGGCCUGGCAUCCUUGUCUGAAAGUGUCAAGGGUGGCGCAGUCACGAUCGCUAGAGGCCGACACGGCCGGCGAACGGGCAUGAAAACGGGCCUGCGCUUAAUUGUGCGGCCAUAAACCGAACAACUGUUAACAAUGGAUAUCUUGGUUCUC